This 253-nucleotide ribosomal RNA is filed under the name uncultured bacterium. Its description in RNAcentral is "partial 16S ribosomal RNA". It matches the Rfam family "Bacterial small subunit ribosomal RNA", at positions 524 to 776 of the family's 1533-position model. The record is from RNAcentral.
UACGUAGGUGGCAAGCGUUGUCCGGAUUUACUGGGCGUAAAGAGCGCGCAGGCGGUCGUUCAAGUCGCGUGUGAAAGCCCCCGGCUCAACUGGGGAGGGUCACGCGAUACUGAUCGACUCGAAGGCAGGAGAGGGAAGUGGAAUUCCCGGUGUAGUGGUGGAAUGCGUAGAUAUCGGGAGGAACACCAGUGGCGAAGGCGGUUGCCUGGAGCUUUGCUGACGCUGAUGCGCGAAAGCGUGGGGAGCGAUCCGG